ACUAUACCACUUAAAAUUUUUAGUAUUUUUUCUUUUCAUACUUAUAAUUGGUAAUUUCUGUUAGCUUUUCACCAAUGAACUUUGAAAUCUUUCUUUAUGUUAUCAAUAAGCAACUGCCCUGGAAUGUUAGAAAACAAUCCAACAAGAGACUUGCUUUCAUCAAGCACUUUAUAAAGACUUUAUGAAAAAGCACCAAAAGCAUUGGAAAAGGCCACUGACUCUCAAUCAUCUUUUUCUCAAGAAGAAAACAAUGGAAAAGCAAAUCUCCUCUCAGUUAUCCCCCAGCUUGGGGUUGGGGGGUAUUAGAGACAUUGUGAAAUCAAAUCUUGUGUUAUAUUUUUCUCCUGGUUCGCUGUUUUUGAGAAGGUUUAUGGGCUAUUUGGCUGGUGAGACACGAUCCCCUCCUAAGAAAAUCCUUUUCAGGAGCCAAAAUAUACAAAUACAAACAAACAAAAAAUACUCAGAGAAAACACUUCCCUUCUUCCCCCCUCCUGAUGAUGAGUGAGGAGUUUUGAGAGCUUUGGGGUCAGUGCCCUUCUAAACUUCCCCUCCCCCAGUAAUGCAGCUGUGCAGUGGGUGCUAAGGGCAGCGGCUUGGACCAGGCACAGCCCAGCCUGCUGGCAGCAGAGAGAUAAACGGGUAGGUGGCAGCAGAGAAAGGAACCCUUCAGAGUGGCUGUUGACAUUAACCCUGCACAGGAGAAGAAAUUGCAUGUGACAUAUGAAAGUGGAGCACGGAAGGGCAGAGAUGAAAGCUGCAUUUAGGAUGGCUGCCCCUUUACGAAGAAAGGUUCUCUUGAAAUAACCAGUGAUAUUCUGGAUGAAGACAGAUUGUGUGGAGUUUGCUUUUUAAAGUGGAAGAAUAACACAGAAUAAGAAAUCAGUAGUUCUACCUUGCUGGAUUCAGUGUGAUUUCUUUUUCUAAAAUAAAAGCACUGGAUGGAAAUGAAACACAUGGAGUGUGCCUUGUUAUGUCAGCAGCUGUUAUUUUACUCACUUCAUAUAUGUCACUUAUCUUAGACCAGAUACCAUCCUCAACCCAGUUUUUAUUCUUUCCCCCUAACUGUCUUCUGCAAACAAAGUCUUACUUCCUUUAGUUCUGAAGUGAGUGCUCCUUUUGAUGCAGAGGUAGGUACUCACUGAAUGCUCAUGUUGAGUGGAGCCA
RNAcentral lists this long non-coding RNA (1164 nucleotides) under Cricetulus griseus (Chinese hamster). Its description in RNAcentral is "lncRNA (ENSCGRG00015041516.1)". The record is from RNAcentral. Lineage: Eukaryota; Metazoa; Chordata; Mammalia; Rodentia; Cricetidae.